Molecule: non-coding RNA, 239 nt
Organism: Pelobates cultripes (western spadefoot toad)
Lineage: Eukaryota; Metazoa; Chordata; Amphibia; Anura; Pelobatidae
Source: the annotation of a GenBank genome assembly
GAUAGAAUAGGGCACGUUGGCACAGUAUUCUAAUCGCGUGUUGGUCAGUGUUUAUAGAUAGAAUGGGGCACAUUGGCACAGUAUUCUAAUUGCGUGUUGGUCAGUGUUUAUAGAUAGAAUAGGGCGCGUUGGCACAGUAUUCUAAUCACAAGUUGGUCAGUGUUUAUAGAUAGAAUAGGGCGCGUUGGCACAGUAUUCUAAUCACAAGUUGGUCAGUGUUUAUAGAUCGAAUAGGGCGC